AUGACUCGGGCUAAGAGCGAGAGCGACCGGGUGAUGCCUGGUCCGGACCAGGUUGACUUGGCAUCCCACGAUGAUGAUAGCGCGAGGGAGUCACCACGUAGGAGAGCUGGACCACAACUGAAGAAAGGCCCUUGGACACCGGCCGAGGAUGCCAUCUUGGAGGCGUAUGUUAAGAAGCAUGGUGUGCAGAACUGGAAUGUGGUGCAGAAGGACACCGGGCUGUUAAGGUGCGGCAAGAGCUGCCGUCUCCGCUGGGCAAACCACCUGAGGCCCGACCUAAAGAAGGGCACUUUCACCAAAGAGGAGGAGAACCUAAUCAUUAAGCUCCAUUCCAAAAUGGGGAAUAAGUGGGCUCGAAUGGCUGCCCGUUUGCCAGGGCGCACUGAUAAUGAAAUAAAAAACUACUGGAACACUCGAAUAAAGAAAUGCCAGCGCACCUCUACGCCUAUAUAUCCUGCUGAAAUAUGCCUACAGGCUUCAAAUGAAGAUCAGCAUGAGUCCGCUGACUUCAGUUUUAGCGAGAAGCUGGCCAAUGAUCUCCUCCAUGGAAAUGGUUUAUAUGAUCCCAGUUCAACGUGGGGCGAUUUCAUUGAUGACCAAGAAGCUUUGUCUUAUGCGCCCCAGCUUCCAGAUGUUUCUUUCAGCAAUUUACCUGGUCUGUACUUUGAGUCAACAAACCAUGGCUUCGUGGAUCAAGUUAACCAAGCAGAAGUUCUGAAAGAAUCUGAGAUUUCAUUUCCUUGGUUGAACGCGGCCAUCAAUGGUACCUUCGAUGGCAGCCAUGCCUUUUCAAAUGGCAACUUCUCUACUUCUAGGCCCAUGACUGGUCCCUGGAAGAUGGAGCUCCCUUCAUUCCAAUUUGCUGGAUCUGAUCCAAACAACUGGUCCGCAUACUCAAGGACCUGUGCUGCGCAGGGUGCCAACUUUGCUGAUCCCUGCAUGCGCUCAUCAGCGGCAAUGGCAUCAGCUAAGUUUGAGCACAUGUGCAUGAUACCAGGGAACAGCGGUCAGUUGGAAGAGCCGCUUCCAGAAGCUCAUGCAGUAAGCUCUGCAGAGAACCAGCAGCUGUCCGUGGGGAGUUCGAGUGCCUCUACUGGCUCACCCUGCGAUGCUAUGGUGGAAACAUCAGAGCUCCAUUUCUUGGAGCGAGACCCCAACCUGUACGCUCUUGUCAACAGCUGUUCGCCCGCCUCGCCUCUUUGCCAAGCAUCGCCUGAUGAGUUACCGUGCUCCGAUUUUUCAUCUGCAGCGAGCCCUGUGUUUGUAUCAGAUGAACCAACAAUCCUGCAAUACGAAAAAGGAUUUCUCUUGCCUCAUCCUGAAGAUUCCGGGGCAGACGCAUUCUCCCAUUGGAACGCGAUGCCGCCCAUCUUCCAGUGA
RNAcentral lists this ribosomal RNA (1380 nucleotides) under Triticum aestivum (bread wheat). Its description in RNAcentral is "partial small subunit ribosomal RNA". Lineage: Eukaryota; Viridiplantae; Streptophyta; Magnoliopsida; Poales; Poaceae. The record is from RNAcentral.